UACGAAGGGGGCUAGCGUUGCUCGGAAUCACUGGGCGUAAAGCGCACGUAGGCGGCUUUUUAAGUCAGGGGUGAAAUCCUGGAGCUCAACUCCAGAACUGCCUUUGAUACUGGGAAGCUUGAGUCCGGGAGAGGUGAGUGGAGCUCCGAGUGUAGAGGUGAAAUUCGUAGAUAUUCGGAAGAACACCAGUGGCGAAGGCGGCUCACUGGCCCGGUACUGACGCUGAGGUGCGAAAGCGUGGGGAGCAAACAGG
Molecule: ribosomal RNA, 253 nt
Filed under: uncultured bacterium
Lineage: Bacteria
Description: partial 16S ribosomal RNA
Rfam family: Bacterial small subunit ribosomal RNA
Source: RNAcentral